CUUUCUUUCGAGCUCGCCGACCACACCGUUCGUCAUUCUUGAAAGUUAUGCGACCGCCUGGAAAACUCCCUUUUUCGAAGGUGUGGUUGCCAGGUAUCAGAAUGGGGCUUACUCUCGUCGGUGG
RNAcentral lists this non-coding RNA (124 nucleotides) under Microbotryum lychnidis-dioicae p1A1 Lamole. The record is from RNAcentral. Lineage: Eukaryota; Fungi; Basidiomycota; Microbotryomycetes; Microbotryales; Microbotryaceae.